Molecule: ribosomal RNA, 591 nt
Filed under: Bacillus licheniformis
Lineage: Bacteria; Bacillati; Bacillota; Bacilli; Caryophanales; Bacillaceae
Description: bacterial SSU rRNA
Rfam family: Bacterial small subunit ribosomal RNA
Source: RNAcentral
GUCGAGCGGACCGACGGGAGCUUGCUCCCUUAGGUCAGCGGCGGACGGGUGAGUAACACGUGGGUAACCUGCCUGUAAGACUGGGAUAACUCCGGGAAACCGGGGCUAAUACCGGAUGCUUGAUUGAACCGCAUGGUUCAAUCAUAAAAGGUGGCUUUUAGCUACCACUUACAGAUGGACCCGCGGCGCAUUAGCUAGUUGGUGAGGUAACGGCUCACCAAGGCGACGAUGCGUACCCGACCUGAGAGGGUGAUCGGCCACACUGGGACUGAGACACGGCCCAGACUCCUACGGGAGGCAGCAGUAGGGAAUCUUCCGCAAUGGACGAAAGUCUGACGGAGCAACGCCGCGUGAGUGAUGAAGGUUUUCGGAUCGUAAAACUCUGUUGUUAGGGAAGAACAAGUACCGUUCGAAUAGGGCGGNACCUUGACGGUACCUAACCAGAAAGCCACGGCUAACUACGUGCCAGCAGCCGCGGUAAUACGUAGGUGGCAAGCGUUGUCCGGAAUUAUUGGGCGUAAAGCGCGCGCAGGCGGUUUCUUAAGUCUGAUGUGAAAGCCCCCGGCUCAACCGGGGAGGGUCAUUGGAAAC